CUUGCUACUUUGCCGGCGAGCGGCGGACGGGUGAGUAAUGUCUGGGAAACUGCCUGAUGGAGGGGGAUAACUACUGGAAACGGUAGCUAAUACCGCAUGACGUCGCAAGACCAAAGUGGGGGACCUUCGGGCCUCACGCCAUCGGAUGUGCCCAGAUGGGAUUAGCUAGUAGGUGAGGUAAUGGCUCACCUAGGCGACGAUCCCUAGCUGGUCUGAGAGGAUGACCAGCCACACUGGAACUGAGACACGGUCCAGGACUCCUACGGGAGGCAGCAGUGGGGAAUAUUGCACAAUGGGCGCAAGCCUGAUGCAGCCAUGCCGCGUGUGUGAAGAAGGCCUUAGGGUUGUAAAGCACUUUCAGCGAGGAGGAAGGCGUUGUGGUUAAUAGCUGCAACGAUUGACGUUACUCGCAGAAGAAGCACCGGCUAACUCCGUGCCAGCAGCCGCGGUAAUACGGAGGGUGCAAGCGUUAAUCGGAAUUACUGGGCGUAAAGCGCACGCAGGCGGUUUGUUAAGUCAGAUGUGAAAUCCCCGAGCUUAACUUGGGAACUGCAUUUGAAACUGGCAAGCUAGAGUCUUGUAGAGGGGGGUAGAAUUCCAGGUGUAGCGGUGAAAUGCGUAGAGAUCUGGAGGAAUACCGGUGGCGAAGGCGGCCCCCUGGACAAAGACUGACGCUCAGGUGCGAAAGCGUGGGGAGCAAAC
Molecule: ribosomal RNA, 702 nt
Filed under: Rahnella sp. 100-p8_D7
Lineage: Bacteria; Pseudomonadati; Pseudomonadota; Gammaproteobacteria; Enterobacterales; Yersiniaceae
Description: bacterial SSU rRNA
Rfam family: Bacterial small subunit ribosomal RNA
Source: RNAcentral